Molecule: ribosomal RNA, 386 nt
Filed under: uncultured bacterium
Lineage: Bacteria
Description: bacterial SSU rRNA
Rfam family: Bacterial small subunit ribosomal RNA
Source: RNAcentral
GACGAACGCUGGCGGCGUGCUUAACACAUGCAAGUCGAGCGGAAAGGCCCUUUCGGGGGUACUCGAGCGGCGAACGGGUGAGUAACACGUGAGUAAUCUGCCCUUGGCUUUGGAUAACCACCGGAAACGGUGGCUAAUACCGGAUAUGACGGGCUCCGGCAUCGGGGUUCGUGGAAAGUUUUUUCGGCCAGGGAUGUGCUCGCGGCCUAUCAGCUUGUUGGUGGGGUAAUGGCCUACCAAGGCUUCGACGGGUAGCCGGCCUGAGAGGGUGACCGGCCACACUGGGACUGAGACACGGCCCAGACUCCUACGGGAGGCAGCAGUGGGGAAUAUUGGACAAUGGGCGAAAGCCUGAUCCAGCAACGCCGCGUGAGGGAUGACGGCCU